UUCUUCACACAAUGCACAGUAAACCUGCAGAACUCAUUGCCAGGGGAUGUUGUGAAGGCCAAAACUAUAACGGGGUUAAAAAAAAGAAUUAGAUAAGUUCAUGGAGAAUAGGUCCAUCAAUGGCUAUUAGCCAAGACUGGUCAGGGAUGCAACUCCGUGCCCUGGGUGUUCCUAACUUUUGACUGCCAGAAGCUAGGACUAGUCAUCAGGGGAUGGAUCUCUUGAUAAGUGCCCUGUUCUGUUCAUUCCCCUGAGUCAUCUGGCACUGGCCACUGCCAGAAGACAGGACACUGGGCUAGAUGGACCACUCCUGUGACCCAGUAUGGACCCUCUUAUGUUCUCAUGUGAAUAUUUGAUGUUCUUGCACUAAAAAAAGAAAAA
Long non-coding RNA from Dermochelys coriacea (leatherback sea turtle), 381 nucleotides. RefSeq lists it as uncharacterized. The transcript has 2 exons. The record is from RefSeq and is a predicted model, not a curated record. Lineage: Eukaryota; Metazoa; Chordata; Testudines; Dermochelyidae.